UACGUAGGGGGCGAGCGUUGUCCGGAUUUACUGGGCGUAAAGCGCGUGUAGGCGGUUGAUCAAGUCGGGUGUGAAAUGCUGCAGCUUAACUGCGGCACUGCGCUCGAAACUGGUUGACUGGAGUUUGGCAGGGGUAACCGGAAUUCCUGGUGUAACGGUGAAAUGUGUAGAUAUCAGGAGGAACAUCUGUGGCGAAGGCGGGUUACUGGGCCAAAACUGACGCUGAGACGCGAAAGCGUGGGGAGCAAACAGG
This 253-nucleotide ribosomal RNA is filed under the name uncultured bacterium. Its description in RNAcentral is "partial 16S ribosomal RNA". It matches the Rfam family "Bacterial small subunit ribosomal RNA", at positions 524 to 776 of the family's 1533-position model. The record is from RNAcentral.